AAUGAACGCUGGCGGCGUGCCUAACACAUGCAAGUCGGAUGUGCCGCCAGGUGCAUGGCCGACGGGUGCGUAACGCGUAGGGAAUCUACCUUUUUGUGGGGAAUAACGCUCCGAAAGGAGUGGUAAUACCGCAUGAGACCGUGAGCUGGGAUGUUCACGGUGAAACCUGGGGACCGCAAGGCCUGGGGCAAAAAGAGGAUCCUGCGUCUGAUUAGCUAGUUGGCGGGGUAAUGGCCCACCAAGGCGACGAUCAGUAGCCGGCCUGAGAGGGUGAUCGGCCACACUGGAACUGAGACACGGUCCAGACUCCUACGGGAGGCAGCAGUGGGGAAUUUUGCGCAAUGGACGAAAGUCUGACGCAGCAACGCCGCGUGGGUGAUGAAGGUCUUCGGACUGUAAAACCCUGUCGUCAGGGACGAAGGUGGCAGUGUUAAUAGCGCUGUUACUUGACGGUACCUGGAGAGGAAGCCCCGGCUAACUCUGUG
RNAcentral lists this ribosomal RNA (485 nucleotides) under uncultured bacterium. Its description in RNAcentral is "partial 16S ribosomal RNA". It matches the Rfam family "Bacterial small subunit ribosomal RNA", at positions 29 to 507 of the family's 1533-position model. The record is from RNAcentral.